GACGAACGCUGGCGGCGUGCUUAACACAUGCAAGUCGAACGGAAAGGCCCUGCUUUUGUGGGGUGCUCGAGUGGCGAACGGGUGAGUAACACGUGAGUCACCUGCCCUUGACUUUGGGAUAACUUCAGGAAACUGGGGCUAAUGCCGGAUAGGAGCUCCUGCUGCAUGGUGGGGGUUGGAAAGCUUCGGCGGUUGGGGAUGGACUCGCGGCUUAUCAGCUUGUUGGUGGGGUAGUGGCUUACCAAGGCUUUGACGGGUAGCCGGCCUGAGAGGGUGACCGGCCACAUUGGGACUGAGAUACGGCCCAGACUCCUACGGGAGGCAGCAGUGGGGAAUAUUGCACAAUGGGCGGAAGCCUGAUGCAGCAACGCCGCGUGCGGGAUGACGGCCUUCGGGUUGUAAACCGCUUUCGCCUGUGACGAAGCGUGAGUGACGGUAAUGGGUAAAGAAGCACCGGCUAACUACGUG
This 468-nucleotide ribosomal RNA is filed under the name uncultured bacterium. RNAcentral describes it as "partial 16S ribosomal RNA". It matches the Rfam family "Bacterial small subunit ribosomal RNA", at positions 28 to 507 of the family's 1533-position model. The record is from RNAcentral.